GACGAACGCUGGCGGCGUGCUUAACACAUGCAAGUCGAACGGAAAGGCCCUGCUUUUGUGGGGUGCUCGAGUGGCGAACGGGUGAGUAACACGUGAGUAACCUGCCCUUGACUUUGGGAUAACUUCAGGAAACUGGGGCUAAUACCGGAUAGGAGCUCCUGCUGCAUGGUGGGGGUUGGAAAGUUUCGGCGGUUGGGGAUGGACUCGCGGCUUAUCAGCUUGUUGGUGGGGUAGUGGCUUACCAAGGCUUUGACGGGUAGCCGGCCUGAGAGGGUGACCGGCCACAUUGGGACUGAGAUACGGCCCAGACUCCUACGGGAGGCAGCAGUGGAGAAUAUUGCACGAUGGGCGGAAGCCUGAUGCAGCAACGCCGCGUGCGGGAUGACGGCCUUCGGGUUGUAAACCGCUUUCGCCUGUGACGAAGCGUGAGUGACGGUAAUGGGUAAAGAAGCACCGGCUAACUACGUG
Molecule: ribosomal RNA, 468 nt
Filed under: uncultured bacterium
Lineage: Bacteria
Description: partial 16S ribosomal RNA
Rfam family: Bacterial small subunit ribosomal RNA
Source: RNAcentral